RNAcentral lists this ribosomal RNA (760 nucleotides) under uncultured archaeon. RNAcentral describes it as "bacterial SSU rRNA". It matches the Rfam family "Archaeal small subunit ribosomal RNA", at positions 539 to 1305 of the family's 1478-position model. The record is from RNAcentral.
CCUUUGUGAAAUCGGGCCGCCUAACGGUUCGGCGUGCAAAGGAUACUGUUGGCCUUGAGGCCGGGAGAGGUCUGAGGUACUCCUGGGGUAGCGGUGAAAUGCUCUAAUCCUGGGGGGACCACCAGUGGCGAAGGCGUCCGACCAGAACGGACCUGACGGUGAGGGGCGAAGGCUAGGGGCGCGAACGGGAUUAGAUACCCCGGUAGUCCUAGCUGUAAAGCAUGCGGGCCAGGUGUCUAGCACUCCUUGAGGGCGCUAGGUGCCGGAGGGAAGUCGUUAAGCCCGCCGCCUGGGAAGUACGGCCGCAAGGCUGAAACUUAAAGAAAUUGGCGGGGGAGCACCACAAGGGGUGGAACCUGCGGUUCAAUUGGAUUCAACGCCGGAAAACUCACCAGGGGCGACAGUUGAUUGAAGGCCAGGUUGACGACCUUGCUCGACUAGCUGAGAGGUGGUGCAUGGCCAUCGUCAGCUCGUACCGUGAGGCGUCCUGUCAAGUCAGGCAACGAGCGAGAUCCUUGCCCUUAGUUGCCACCAGUGGGAAGCUGGGCACUCUAGGGGGACCGCUGGCGCUAAGCCAGAGGAAGGAGAGGGCGACGGUAGGUCAGUAUGCCCCGAAUCCCCUGGGCUACACGCGGGUUACAAUGCGCAGGACAAUGGGAUGCAACCCCGUAAGGGGAAGCCAAGCCCCUAAACCUGCGCUCGGUUCGGAUCGAGGGCUGUAACUCGCCCUCGUGAAGGGGAAUCCCUAGUAAUCGCGUGC